Molecule: ribosomal RNA, 900 nt
Filed under: uncultured bacterium
Lineage: Bacteria
Description: bacterial SSU rRNA
Rfam family: Bacterial small subunit ribosomal RNA
Source: RNAcentral
UGGUAUAAGUGCAGUGCUUAACGCUGUGAUGCUAAAGAAACUGGUUGACUUGAGUGUGGUAGAGGCAAGUGGAAUUCCAUGUGUAGCGGUAAAAUGCGUAAAUAUAUGGAGGAACACCAGUGGCGAAGGCGGCUUGCUGGGCCAUAACUGACACUGAGGCACGAAAGCGUGGGGAUCAAACAGGAUUAGAUACCCUGGUAGUCCACGCUGUAAACGAUGAUUACUCGUUGUUGGCGAUACACAGUCAGCGACCAAGCGAAAGUGAUAAGUAAUCCACCUGGGGAGUACGAUCGCAAGGUUGAAACUCAAAGGAAUUGACGGGGGCCCGCACAAGCGGAGGAACAUGUGGUUUAAUUCGAUGAUACGCGAGGAACCUUACCUGGGCUUAAAUGUAGAGUGCAUUUUCGAGAAAUCGGGAUUCCCUUCGGGGCUUUCUACAAGGUGCUGCAUGGUUGUCGUCAGCUCGUGCCGUGAGGUGUCGGGUUAAGUCCCAUAACGAGCGCAACCCCUAUCGUUAGUUGCUAGCAGGUAAUGCUGAGGACUCUAGCGAAACUGCCGGUGUAAACCGAGAGGAAGGUGGGGAUGACGUCAAAUCAGCACGGCCCUUAUGUCCAGGGCUACACACGUGUUACAAUGGCCGGUACAAUGGGCAGCUACCUGGUGACAGGAUGCUAAUCUCCAAAGCCGGUCUCAGUUCGGAUCGGAGUCUGCAACUCGACUCCGUGAAGUUGGAUUCGCUAGUAAUCGUAUAUCAGCAAUGAUACGGUGAAUACGUUCCCGGGCCUUGUACACACCGCCCGUCAAGCCAUGGAAGCUGGGGGUACCUGAAGUCGGUGAUCCAUUCGUGGAAGCUGCCUAGGGUAAACUUAGUAACUGGGGCUAAGUCGUAACAAGGUAACC